UACAGAGGGGGCAAGCGUUGUUCGGAAUUACUGGGCGUAAAGGGCGCGUAGGCGGCCUUCUAAGUCGAACGUGAAAUCCCUGGGCUCAACCCAGGAACUGCGUCCGAUACUGGGAGGCUUGAAUCCGGGAGAGGGAUGCAGAAUUCCAGGUGUAGCGGUGAAAUGCGUAGAUAUCUGGAGGAAUACCGGUGGCGAAGGCGGCAUCCUGGACCGAGAUUGACGCUGAUGAGCGAAAGCUAGGGGAGCAAACGGG
Molecule: ribosomal RNA, 253 nt
Filed under: uncultured bacterium
Lineage: Bacteria
Description: partial 16S ribosomal RNA
Rfam family: Bacterial small subunit ribosomal RNA
Source: RNAcentral